UCGACCUUGUUGGGAGAAGCUGGUCAUCUGCGAUCAGUGCCGAAGGAGCAACCGCCCCGGAAACUCUCAGGCCAAAGGACCAGCAAGG
This is a non-coding RNA of Rhizobium sp. R72, 88 nucleotides long. NCBI's taxonomy places the organism in Bacteria, Pseudomonadati, Pseudomonadota, Alphaproteobacteria, Hyphomicrobiales, Rhizobiaceae. The record is from Rfam.